GUAGGUGGCAAGCGUUGUCCGGAAUUAUUGGGCGUAAAGCGCGCGCAGGCGGUUCUUUAAGUCUGAUGUGAAAGCCCACGGCUCAACCGUGGAGGGUCAUUGGAAACUGGAGAACUUGAGUACAGAAGAGGAAAGCGGAAUUCCACGUGUAGCGGUGAAAUGCGUAGAGACGUGGAGGAACACCAGUGGCGAAGGCGGCUUUCUGGUCUGUAACUGACGCUGAGGCGCGAAAGCGUGGGGAGCAAACAGGGAUUAGAUACCCUGGUAGUCCACGCCGUAAACGAUGAGUGCUAAGUGUUAGGGGGGUUUCCGCCCCCUUAGUGCUGCAGCUAACGCAUUAAGCACUCCGCCUGGGGAGUACGGCCGCAAGGCUG
RNAcentral lists this ribosomal RNA (374 nucleotides) under uncultured organism. Its description in RNAcentral is "partial 16S ribosomal RNA". It matches the Rfam family "Bacterial small subunit ribosomal RNA", at positions 527 to 896 of the family's 1533-position model. The record is from RNAcentral.